CUGCUGAUGAGGGAGGAUAACAGUUGACGUAAUUGAAUAAAUGAGCCUCAAGGAAUCAAUAAUUGAAGCCAUCUCUGUGUGUCGAUAUAUUCGGUUUUUGAAAUCCGCAGUUACUUUUGCAUCAACCUAAUAGAUUUGCAUCACUCUUUUUAAGGGCUGCAUAGCGUUCCACGGAUGCUUAGGCCGCAGUUUACGUAGCCAACCCUUACUGAGGAACAUUAAAGUUGUUUCCUAUUUUUCAAAAGCAUAAACAAAGUGGGUCUCCCUAUGUUGCCUGGCUGGCCUUGAAGUCCUAGGCCCAAGUGAUCCACCCAUCUCAGCCUCCCAAAAGCUGGGAUUAUAGGUAUGAACCACCAUGUUCAGCCAAUUUUUAUUAUCAUACAUAAUUCUGUGAGGAAUAACUGCAUAACUCUCUAACAUUUCUGAUUAUUUCUUAAGGGUAAAUAUUCAUAGACGAGGAUGAACAUUGUAUUUUGGUAUCACUUGUUUCUGCCUGCCCAGAAUUUCUCAUUUUCACAUGAUAGAACUGACCUCCUACCUCACUCUCUCAUUGCCUUUUAGUAUCUGCCUCUCCCACAACUGGUAAAAUGUUUCAUCACACGGCUGGGACUGAUCAGAGUGCCCUGUCUCCUACCACUCCAGGCACAGUGAUGGGUCCAGGAGUGCGCAUAUGAUCUGAGUAGGGCCAAUAAGAGGGAAUUUUUCUAGGUCUGAUAAUAACUCUUGGAUGAAAACAUCUCUUUCCUUCUGAAAUUACCAAAAACCAUUAAAGGUUGGGACUGAUGAGGUCCCUCUUGAUGCCAACAUGGAAGAAAGCAGAGCUGAACAAUGAAGUGAUAAAGGGGAAUUCCUACUGACAACUUUUUUUUUUGGAGACAAAGUCUCACUCUGUCACCCAGGCUGGAGUGCAGUGACGUGUUCAUGGUUCACUGCAGCCUCAAACUCGGGUUCAAGUCAUUCUCCUGCUUCAGCCUCCCAGUGGCUGUGACUAAGGUGUGCACGACUACCCUGGCUAAUUUAUUUUUAUUUUUGUAGAGAUAGGGUUUCACAAUUUGGCCCCAGCUCGUCUGGAACUCCUGGCCUCAAGCGAUCCUCCUGCCUUAGGUUUCCAAAGUGCUGGGAUUACAGGUGUCAGCCACUGCGCCCAGCCUGAUGCCAUCAUUUCAGUUCCUGGUCUCGGCCAUGACCGAAGCAAGGUGCUUCCCUAGACUUGUCCAAUUAUUUGACCUAAUAAAUUCCCCUGUUUAUUUAAACUAA
Molecule: non-coding RNA, 1257 nt
Organism: Macaca mulatta (Rhesus monkey)
Lineage: Eukaryota; Metazoa; Chordata; Mammalia; Primates; Cercopithecidae
Source: RefSeq, a predicted model, not a curated record